Molecule: long non-coding RNA, 429 nt
Organism: Drosophila bipectinata
Lineage: Eukaryota; Metazoa; Arthropoda; Insecta; Diptera; Drosophilidae
Source: RefSeq, a predicted model, not a curated record
CCAGCCCACCACCCACCGAUGACUAACUUUUUGUGGUUUUGAAAAUUAUUUCACUGAGGAGGAGGUGGCAAUAGAGAAUCCUUUAAACGAAACCAUUGGAAUAUGUACAUUUUAAGCGGAUUGGGUACGUGUUUCAAAUAACGAAUGGCUCUUGUUUGGCCUUGUAAUGGCACUCCGGUAAUGCGAUUAUCCGCAUAUCAGCGAAACAAUAGAAAUUUAAUUUAAAUUUCAGCUUAACUAAUUAACUCUCCGAUACACAAAUAAUGAGCAUCGACAGGCAUAUCCUGCGGCUAUCCUGUUCUGUUCUGUCCUUAAAACCCUGUUCGAUUCAAUUUGGAUAUACAGUCUGACUGCACCCGUGGGGAUUUGUAAAUUCGGGAAAUGCGUAUAUUAUAUUUCGUAAUAAAGUUUGCAACUUUCUGCAUGCUC